AGUCCCAUAUUCUAGAUGACCAUUAUUGCACCAAUACAACAUAUGCUUUAGAUGUAUACGUCUUAACUUCGUUUGCAGUGUGUCAGCACUUCGAAUAUAUUCUAUAUUAUCAUCCUGAGGAUACAAAGAACACAACAUGGAGAAGACGGAGAACAGUGUCCCAGGACUUAGUCACUGGGAGAGACAUGGACACAGGGGAGGGUGAUGGAGCUGUACUCAGCACUGGAUAUGGUGAAGGAGAGUAUGGAACACUGGCCAGGAAAGACGACUUUCUCCAUUCCUAUCCCUGUCAAAAUCCUGGACUUACAAACGCUGAGGCGGAGGGGUUCCAACCUUUCAAAGAUUUGUGCCCCAAGCGUCAUUUUUUUUUCUAUUUAAUUUUUCAUAUUUAA
This is a long non-coding RNA of Myotis davidii, 392 nucleotides long. RefSeq lists it as uncharacterized. NCBI's taxonomy places the organism in Eukaryota, Metazoa, Chordata, Mammalia, Chiroptera, Vespertilionidae. The record is from RefSeq and is a predicted model, not a curated record. The transcript is spliced from 2 exons.